AGGAUUAGUGGGCCUCGAUCCCACAAUAAACAGUUAACAGCUGAACGCCCAACCUAGAGGGC
RNAcentral lists this transfer RNA (62 nucleotides) under Gonocephalus chamaeleontinus (chameleon forest dragon). RNAcentral's name for it is "partial tRNA-Asx". Lineage: Eukaryota; Metazoa; Chordata; Lepidosauria; Squamata; Agamidae. The record is from RNAcentral.